GACGAACGCUGGCGGCGUGCUUAACACAUGCAAGUCGAACGAUGAAGCCUUUCGGGGUGGAUUAGUGGCGAACGGGUGAGUAACACGUGGGCAACCUGCCCUGUACUUUGGGAUAAGCCUUGGAAACGAGGUCUAAUACCGGAUAUGAUGAGUCCUCGCAUGGGGGUUUGUUGAAAGUUCCGGCGGUACAGGAUGAGCCCGCGGCCUAUCAGCUUGUUGGUGGGGUAAUGGCCUACCAAGGCGACGACGGGUAGCCGGCCUGAGAGGGCGACCGGCCACACUGGGACUGAGACACGGCCCAGACUCCUACGGGAGGCAGCAGUGGGGAAGUAUUGCACAAUGGGCGAAAGCCUGAUGCAGCGACGCCGCGUGAGGGAUGAC
Molecule: ribosomal RNA, 381 nt
Filed under: uncultured bacterium
Lineage: Bacteria
Description: bacterial SSU rRNA
Rfam family: Bacterial small subunit ribosomal RNA
Source: RNAcentral